Molecule: long non-coding RNA, 773 nt
Filed under: Musa acuminata (dwarf banana)
Lineage: Eukaryota; Viridiplantae; Streptophyta; Magnoliopsida; Zingiberales; Musaceae
Description: long non-coding RNA (MACU_LNC004356)
Source: RNAcentral
AAUGACAUCAGCAAUUUUGGAUCUCUUAAGACCUUUUUCUUCUUUUUUGUAUAGAUAAGCUUAAAUCGUUGCAAAACGGGAUGAAUGUAUCUAUGAAGUACACAAUUGAAGAUCAUGUCCUCUACAAUUACCAUUGAAGAUCGAGGGAAUUCUCAACUCCCAUCGUCCGGAAAAGUCAACUCGAUCGAGAAAGAAGACGAGCAAAAGAUUACGACUUGUUGUUGAAUUUAUAUACGAGUUCUAAGCAAUGGAAUCUAAGAAGAGCUUCAAAGCUUUGCCUACCAAGAAAGAGUUUCUAAGAACAGCAUUAUUUCAAGAACAGGUUCAGAUUGAUUCCGAUGACGAAGGAGUAGGCUUCCGGCUUCUGUGUCUCUCCGGCGGAAGACUCGUCCUCCUUAUCUGCUGACGAGAACAUCGCCCUGGUAAUCCGUCACCGAUCAGCAAAUAUCUACAAGCAUCGUGGAGUUGGCUUUGCCUUGCUAUGGUGACACCGAUCUGUCCCUCUUUUCUUCGGCGCAAAGCAACAUCAUCACAUAAUGACAGGUCGAUGGUGUCAGUACGAGUGAUACACUCGACAGGAGAUGCAGCGCAGCCGGAGAUGCUACCGGUGCAGCGCAAAUUUCACUUGAAUGCUCGCACUCGGUGGAACAGCGACGGUAAGUGCCUCGUUCGGUGCCUGCAAUCUUGGCUAGGCAUUUCGUCGAGCAGUUGGCAUGUGAGCGCGCGAAUCCACACUAACUACGUCUGACCUUGCGCUCUUACUAAUAUACUCC